CAGCAGCAGCUGCUGGAGGCUGAUGCUGCUCCCGGGGAGCUCAGAACGGAUGGUCUGCCGGGGUGAGCAGGAGGAAGAUCUCCUGAAAGCGCACACAGCUCGAUCUUCCACAUCAGGAGACCUGACCGUGAACACCUUUGACACCCACCUGAGGGAGACGCUGCCUAAGAUCUCAAGGCUGCUUGGUCGUGGUCUUUGUGGUCCUGCUGGAGAACAUCUUCAUCAACUACGUCUUCUUUUGAAGAGGCCCUCAGAUGCUGCAAUCUCUGACCUUAAGGAGGAACUGCUACUUUCACUCUGUAACGAGACGGCCGUUAUUUUAAAGACCCAGCUCCUGGCGGCUUUGAGUGAAAACUUAACAUCCAUCAAAACGGAACUGCAGAAAGUUAAAUCUGAGCUGUCAGUCAGUCUUUCAAACAUCAAGUCCGACCUGGGUGCCCUAAAGCACGCUGUGGGUGAAACGGAAACUUCACUCUCCACAUCACCAACGACAUCGUCACACUCCAAAGCAGAGCACCUAUCUGCUGAACUUUUAAGAGUGGACUAUAAAGGUGAAGAAUGUGAGCAGCGGAACAGAUGUGUUCAGAAAGAAGUCAUUUUCUUAGUUACAGCAUUUGCAACUUGCUAGCUGUGCUGUUUCAAACUGUGUCUAUUAAUUGGUCAUCCCUACUUAAAACCCUCUCUUUGUUCUUAGUAUCUUUGCACUUUACAUAUUACAACCUAACAGGCAAGAGUUAAAAAUCAGCCCUUAGGCUAACACUGGUACAUUAACAGUGAUCACUGUGCAUUAUUCCUGCAAAAAAAAAAAAGGUAAUGAAUAAAAUGAAAAAAAUAUUUAAAUGUGUGAGAGAUUUAGCAGAGCCUGACUUCAUUUGUAACUUCAGCCAUUCUUUUUACAUUGAUGUGCUUUAUAAUUAAAUGCAGUGUGUGUUGCUUUUCUUAACCUUUUCAUUUUUAAUUUUUACUUCACAAACGUUAUUUUUUUGGGGGGCAAUUUUUUUGUACUGACAGAAAAACAAAAUCAAUUCACUGUGAUAGUUUCAUUUGUGCAUUUGCAAAAUUUAAUAAAACUGGACACUUACUCAUGAUUUACUGUCUAAUAAUUCUGGGACGAGAUCAAGAUCAGUAAAAGAUACCCGGGUUGAAUGUAAUAAUCUUGAAAUAAAGAGAUACUAAGUCAUAAUUAUGCAUGGAUUUUUUGUAAACACAAUGCCGUUACACACUUAAUAAAUAAAAUCCAAUUUUUUUAAUGACUGAAUUUUAA
Molecule: long non-coding RNA, 1264 nt
Organism: Acanthochromis polyacanthus (spiny chromis)
Lineage: Eukaryota; Metazoa; Chordata; Actinopteri; Pomacentridae
Exons: 2
Source: RefSeq, a predicted model, not a curated record